RNAcentral lists this ribosomal RNA (229 nucleotides) under Klebsiella pneumoniae. RNAcentral's name for it is "partial 23S ribosomal RNA". It matches the Rfam family "Bacterial large subunit ribosomal RNA", at positions 1549 to 1779 of the family's 2925-position model. Lineage: Bacteria; Pseudomonadati; Pseudomonadota; Gammaproteobacteria; Enterobacterales; Enterobacteriaceae. RNAcentral also lists the same sequence under 1 other name. The record is from RNAcentral.
AUCAAGGCUGAGGUGUGAUGACGAGGCACUACGGUGCUGAAGUAACAAAUGCCCUGCUUCCAGGAAAAGCCUCUAAGCAUCAGGUAACAUCAAAUCGUACCCCAAACCGACACAGGUGGUCAGGUAGAGAAUACCAAGGCGCUUGAGAGAACUCGGGUGAAGGAACUAGGCAAAAUGGUGCCGUAACUUCGGGAGAAGGCACGCUGGUGUGUAGGUGAAGUCCCUGCGG